CUUGGCACAACCUGAUACAAAAACAGUAAACCGGGUCCACUGUCAACCACAACGGCACCCAACAGUCCGGAACAGUCUAUAGACUACUUUAAAAAUAAGCUCGGCAUCCCAGCACGAGCGUAAAUGCAUUCUAUACUAUUCUGAAUAUCCACUGCCCACCAACUGCGGCGAUACAAAUAAACUACUGCUCCUAGAGCUAAAUCCGAUAGUUUCAGAAAAUGACAGUGUAGAAUCAAUAGUUUUCUCCUAAGUCAAUUCCAAAUCC
Molecule: long non-coding RNA, 265 nt
Filed under: Ananas comosus (pineapple)
Lineage: Eukaryota; Viridiplantae; Streptophyta; Magnoliopsida; Poales; Bromeliaceae
Description: long non-coding RNA (ACOM_LNC037726)
Source: RNAcentral